GGUUCCGUGGUGUAGGGGUUAACAUGCCGCCUGUCACGCAGGAGAUCGCGGGUUCAAAUCCCGUCGGGACCGCCA
RNAcentral lists this transfer RNA (75 nucleotides) under Listeria monocytogenes. RNAcentral's name for it is "tRNA-Asp". It matches the Rfam family "tRNA". Rfam says of the family: Transfer RNA (tRNA) molecules are approximately 80 nucleotides in length. Their secondary structure includes four short double-helical elements and three loops (D, anti-codon, and T loops). Further hydrogen bonds mediate the characteristic L-shaped molecular structure. tRNAs have two regions of fundamental functional importance: the anti-codon, which is responsible for specific mRNA codon recognition, and the 3' end, to which the tRNAs corresponding amino acid is attached (by aminoacyl-tRNA synthetases). tRNAs cope with the degeneracy of the genetic code in two manners: having more than one tRNA (with a specific anti-codon) for a particular amino acid; and 'wobble' base-pairing, i.e. permitting non-standard base-pairing at the 3rd anti-codon position. The record is from RNAcentral. Lineage: Bacteria; Bacillati; Bacillota; Bacilli; Caryophanales; Listeriaceae.